GGGGAUGUGGCGCAGCGGUAGCGCGUUCGCUUUGCAUGCGAAAGGUCAUGGUUUCGAGCACCAUCUUCUCCA
This is a non-coding RNA of Cytospora paraplurivora, 72 nucleotides long. The record is from the annotation of a GenBank genome assembly. NCBI's taxonomy places the organism in Eukaryota, Fungi, Ascomycota, Sordariomycetes, Diaporthales, Cytosporaceae.